CAGACUUUUGCAGCGACAGGCACACAACCAACCAACCAACCGUCUCUGCUGCUUUCCAAAGACUUACUGCCACUGGGACAGCUACACACACACUCACACACUUGCUUUUUUUUUGGAUUUGUUGUCAAGUUGUGUUGCUUUUUUUUACUUUUUUCUCACCUUUAACAAAACUGUUGUCCCGUGAACAAAUCCCCGGCAGGCAGCUCUCUCCCGUCGGCUCGAGGACGAGAGGAUAACGCUCCCCCCCCCCCUCAUACAGUCCUCUAAUCAUAUAACAGGUGACUGUUGAGAGAGUUUUUCCACCUUUAUUGUGUCCUUUCUGUCUCUCCACGCUUCUCCUGACACAUUUGGGAUCGGUGUAGCCGGCUCACACCGCCGUUACCUUUUAACUAUUGCGAGCAACAGAGUCGGAGUUUUUUUUUUUUUUUUUUGCAUUUCACAGUUAGGCUCAUUUUCUGGUUUUGCUCCUCCGAGCUGCAGGCUGUGUCACACGGAACUCGGGCGCUUUCAACAGGUUUCCAGCCUUCGCUUCCUCGCUUUGCCUCCAGACAGCUGUGUGUGCCCGCCCGGGAUUCUCUUCUCUCCAGUCUGACCGUAUUCUUAUGGAUAUUGCAACAGGUCUGGUGUCACUGGAGCGCCUCUCCGCGGGAGAACAGUCCGAGACGUGCAUCAUGCUGGACGGCAUAAAAAUGGAAGAUCAUCCCCUGCGAUCGGGACAAGCCACGCUCGGAGUCAUGCUCGGGACUGACUGUCAUCA
Molecule: long non-coding RNA, 757 nt
Organism: Etheostoma cragini (Arkansas darter)
Lineage: Eukaryota; Metazoa; Chordata; Actinopteri; Perciformes; Percidae
Exons: 3
Source: RefSeq, a predicted model, not a curated record